RNAcentral lists this ribosomal RNA (262 nucleotides) under Achromobacter sp. ACM02. RNAcentral describes it as "partial 16S ribosomal RNA". It matches the Rfam family "Bacterial small subunit ribosomal RNA", at positions 702 to 964 of the family's 1533-position model. The record is from RNAcentral. Lineage: Bacteria; Pseudomonadati; Pseudomonadota; Betaproteobacteria; Burkholderiales; Alcaligenaceae.
AGGAACACCGAUGGCGAAGGCAGCCUCCUGGGAUAACACUGACGCUCAUGCACGAAAGCGUGGGGAGCAAACAGGAUUAGAUACCCUGGUAGUCCACGCCCUAAACGAUGUCAACUAGCUGUUGGGGCCUUCGGGCCUUGGUAGCGCAGCUAACGCGUGAAGUUGACCGCCUGGGGAGUACGGUCGCAAGAUUAAAACUCAAAGGAAUUGACGGGGACCCGCACAAGCGGUGGAUGAUGUGGAUUAAUUCGAUGCAACGCGA